GGGGGUAUAGCGCAGUUGGGAGCGCGCUUGACUGGCAGUCAAGAGGUCAGGGGUUCAAGUCCCCUUAUCUCCACCA
This 76-nucleotide transfer RNA is filed under the name Candidatus Delongbacteria bacterium. RNAcentral's name for it is "tRNA-Ala". It matches the Rfam family "tRNA". From Rfam's summary of the family: Transfer RNA (tRNA) molecules are approximately 80 nucleotides in length. Lineage: Bacteria; Candidatus Delongiibacteriota. The record is from RNAcentral.